UCGGGAAUUUUGGGCAAUGGGCGAAAGCCUGACCCAGCAACGCCGCGUGAAGGAUGAAGUAUUUCGGUAUGUAAACUUCGAAAGAAUAGGAAGAAUAAAUGACGGUACUAUUUAUAAGGUCCGGCUAACUACGUGCCAGCAGCCGCGGUAAUACGUAGGGACCAAGCGUUGUUCGGAUUUACUGGGCGUAAAGGGCGCGUAGGCGGCAAUUCAAGUCAUCUGUGAAAUCUCCGGGCUUAACCCGGAACGGUCAGAUGAUACUGCUUUGCUAGAGUGCAGAAGGGGCAAUCGGAAUUCUUGGUGUAGCGGUGAAAUGCGUAGAUAUCAAGAGGAACACCUGAGGUGAAGACGGGUUGCUGGGCUGACACUGACGCUGAGACGCGAAAGCGUGGGGAGCAAACAGGAUUAGAUACCCUUGUAGUCCCUGAGCGGGCUGGCAAGGCGCAU
RNAcentral lists this ribosomal RNA (447 nucleotides) under uncultured bacterium. RNAcentral's name for it is "bacterial SSU rRNA". It matches the Rfam family "Bacterial small subunit ribosomal RNA", at positions 355 to 825 of the family's 1533-position model. The record is from RNAcentral.